UGGGGAAUUUUGGACAAUGGGCGAAAGCCUGAUCCAGCAAUGCCGCGUGUGUGAAGAAGGCCUUCGGGUUGUAAAGCACUUUUGUCCGGAAAGAAAACCUUGGCUUUAAUACAGCCGGGGGAUGACGGUACCGGAAGAAUAAGCACCGGCUAACUACGUG
This 160-nucleotide ribosomal RNA is filed under the name uncultured bacterium. RNAcentral's name for it is "partial 16S ribosomal RNA". It matches the Rfam family "Bacterial small subunit ribosomal RNA", at positions 355 to 507 of the family's 1533-position model. The record is from RNAcentral.